CAGGUUCCGGUUCACGUUCGCCUCCACUUCGAAGGCGGGCGACCCGGCGGCC
This is a non-coding RNA of Mycobacterium arupense, 52 nucleotides long. The record is from Rfam. NCBI's taxonomy places the organism in Bacteria, Bacillati, Actinomycetota, Actinomycetes, Mycobacteriales, Mycobacteriaceae.